RNAcentral lists this ribosomal RNA (253 nucleotides) under uncultured bacterium. Its description in RNAcentral is "partial 16S ribosomal RNA". It matches the Rfam family "Bacterial small subunit ribosomal RNA", at positions 524 to 776 of the family's 1533-position model. The record is from RNAcentral.
UACGUAGGGUGCAAGCGUUAAUCGGAAUUACUGGGCGUAAAGCGUGCGCAGGCGGUGAUGUAAGACAGUUGUGAAAUCCCCGGGCUCAACCUGGGAACUGCAUCUGUGACUGCAUUGCUGGAGUAUGGCAGAGGGGGGUGGAAUUCCACGUGUAGCAGUGAAAUGCGUAGAGAUGUGGAGGAACACCGAUGGCGAAGGCAGCCCCCUGGGCCAAUACUGACGCUCAUGCACGAAAGCGUGGGGAGCAAACAGG